AGUCGUAACAAGGUUUCCGUAGGUGAACCUGCGGAAGGAUCAUUAACGAGUUCUGAAAGGGGUUGUAGCUGGCUUUUCCAGCAUGUGCUCGCCCUGUUCAAUCCACUCUACACCUGUGCACCAACUGUGGGCUUUUUGGUGGACUUGCUUAAUCGUCCUUCACCGGGCGUUGAGGCUUGUUGACCUUGGCCUGCGUUUUCAUACAAACCCUGUAAAAAGUAAAAAGAAUGUGUAUUGCGAUAUAACGCAUUUAUAUACAACUUUCAGCAACGGAUCUCUUGGCUCUC
Molecule: unclassified non-coding RNA, 287 nt
Filed under: Picipes badius
Lineage: Eukaryota; Fungi; Basidiomycota; Agaricomycetes; Polyporales; Polyporaceae
Description: partial internal transcribed spacer region
Rfam family: Eukaryotic small subunit ribosomal RNA (bases 1-45)
Source: RNAcentral